CCCUUAGAUGUUCUGGGCCGCACGCGCGCUACACUGACGAAUGCAACGAGCUUAUAACCUUGGCCGAAAGGUCUGGGUAAUCUCCAAAUUUCGUCGUGAUGGGGAUAGAUUAUUGCAAUUAUUAAUCUUCAACGAGGAAUGCCUAGUAGGCGCAAGUCAUGAGCUUGCGUUGAUUACGUCCCUGCCCUUUGUACACACCGCCCGUCGCUCCUACCGAUUGAAUGGUCCGGUGAAGCGUUCGGACCGUGGCCUUUGGACGGUUCGCCGUCUGUUGGCUGCGGGAAGUUCGUUAAACCUUAUCAUUUAGAGGAAGGAGAAGUCGUAACA
RNAcentral lists this ribosomal RNA (327 nucleotides) under uncultured eukaryote. RNAcentral describes it as "partial 18S ribosomal RNA". It matches the Rfam family "Eukaryotic small subunit ribosomal RNA", at positions 1470 to 1796 of the family's 1831-position model. The record is from RNAcentral.